AUUUUGUUUCCAUCUGAAAAAUGGAAGGGAUGCAAAUUGAGGAAAAAGUGGAGGUCGAGUUCUAUGGGGAAUUUGGUGGGGUGAAUAUCUUAUUCAUAUUGUCAUGUUCUGUGUUUGAUGAUUGAAGCCACAGGAGACUCUGCUCUUCGCAAAGGAAGGGAGUUGAGCAAUUGAAAUGCUCCCCUGACUUCCUUGUAAUUUUGAUCAAG
RNAcentral lists this unclassified non-coding RNA (209 nucleotides) under Hevea brasiliensis (rubber tree). Lineage: Eukaryota; Viridiplantae; Streptophyta; Magnoliopsida; Malpighiales; Euphorbiaceae. The record is from RNAcentral.